This 510-nucleotide long non-coding RNA is filed under the name Homo sapiens (human). Its description in RNAcentral is "HSALNT0367429". Lineage: Eukaryota; Metazoa; Chordata; Mammalia; Primates; Hominidae. The record is from RNAcentral.
GUCCCAGUGGAAUUAAUGGAAGCUGUCAACAGCCCGCCCCCGACCUCACUGGAUAUAACUGUGUCCUCGGCAGACCUUCAGUUUGUCAGAACCAGUUGGGAUGCAACAGGAUUUUCAGUUUUGCUGCCUUCCAUGCAUGAAUGGCUGUUGGAAUGACCAAGAUGAUUUUUCCACCCAUUCUUGGGACCUGGACUAUGAUGGCCACAGCAGCUAAAGAUGCCAGGUUCUGCAUACUAUGAAACUACUACAUCAGCAGGUCCAAAGGACUCCACUGACUCAACUGAUCUGAGGGACCCCAUGAGAAGCCUACUCAUCAAAGAAUGCAGUUUCUAAAUCCUGAUGAGUUCACCCCCCUUGCCCUGACCAAUCAACAAUCCUAAUUCUCCAGUCCCUUGCCCUCCAUGAUCCUCUUAAAAACCCUAGCCCAGAAUUCCUCAGGAAGAUGGAUUUGAGGGUCUCCUUCCAACUCCUCACUCAGCGCCCUGUGGUCAUUAAACUUUCUCUGCUGCA